Molecule: ribosomal RNA, 512 nt
Filed under: uncultured bacterium
Lineage: Bacteria
Description: partial 16S ribosomal RNA
Rfam family: Bacterial small subunit ribosomal RNA
Source: RNAcentral
GAUGAACGCUGGCGGCAUGCCUAAUACAUGCAAGCCGAACGAGAGGAAGGAAAGCUUGCUUUUCUGAAUCUAGUGGCGAACGGGUGAGUAACACGUAGGUAACCUGUCCAUGUGCCCGGGAUAACUUCUGGAAACGGAUGCUAAAACCGGAUAGGUAGCAGACAAGCAUUUGACUGCUAUUAAAGUGGCUAAGGCCAUGAACAUGGAUGGACCUGCGGUGCAUUAGCUAGUUGGUGAGGUAACGGCCCACCAAGGCGACGAUGCAUAGCCGGCCUGAGAGGGCGGACGGCCACAUUGGGACUGAGACACGGCCCAAACUCCUACGGGAGGCAGCAGUAGGGAAUUUUCGUCAAUGGGGGGAACCCUGAACGAGCAAUGCCGCGUGAGUGAGGAAGGUCUUCGGAUCGUAAAGCUCUGUUGUAAGAGAAAAACGACAUUCAUAGGGAAUGAUGAGUGAGUGAUGGUAUCUUACCAGAAAGUCACGGCUAACUACGUGCCAGCCGCCGCUGUAA